UUUACUCUUUAUUUAACUUUGGAUUAAAGAAUCAUUCAGUUAAAGGGAUGCUUUGCUUGUGAGGGUUUCACAGCAUGCAGGUAUGCGUAUUGAUUAAUGUACAAAUAUGCUAAUGGAAAGUUCAUUGCCUUUUUCUCAAAAAAAUAACAAGUUUUUCAUUGCCAAUGGCUCGGCCAAACCCUUCCCCGGGCCAAACUUACUUGUUCAGAAUCUCUUAACCGUGUUGUUGUCGAGUGCACUGUUAUUAAUUACACUAUAAAGUAAAAUAAACUUUCUUAGUUAAUGGAG
Molecule: long non-coding RNA, 288 nt
Filed under: Panax ginseng (ginseng)
Lineage: Eukaryota; Viridiplantae; Streptophyta; Magnoliopsida; Apiales; Araliaceae
Description: long non-coding RNA (PGIN_LNC012316)
Source: RNAcentral